CCUACGGGAGGCAGCAGUAGGGAAUCUUCCACAAUGGGCGCAAGCCUGAUGCAGCAACGCCGCGUGGGGGAAGAAGGUCUUCGGAUCGUAAAACCCUGUUGUUAGAGAAGAAAGUGCGUGCGAGUAACUGUUCACGUUUCGACGGUAUCUAUCCAGAAAGCCACGGCUAACUCCGUGCCACAAGCCGCGGCAAGACGUAGGUGGGAAGCGUUAUCCGGAUUUAUUGGGCGGAAAGGGAACGGAGGCGGGCUGUUAAGUCUGAUGUGAAAGCCUUCGGCUUAACCGGAGUAGUGCAUUGGAAACUGGGAGACUUGAGUGCAGAAGAGGAGGGUGGAACUCCAGGUGUAGCGGUGAAAUGCGUAGAUAUAUGGAAGAACACCAGUGGCGAAGGCGGCUCUCUGGUCUGUAACUGACGCUGAGGUUCGAAAGCGUGGGUAGCAAACAGGAUUAGAUACCCGUGUAGUC
This 465-nucleotide ribosomal RNA is filed under the name uncultured bacterium. RNAcentral describes it as "partial 16S ribosomal RNA". It matches the Rfam family "Bacterial small subunit ribosomal RNA", at positions 338 to 795 of the family's 1533-position model. The record is from RNAcentral.